Molecule: long non-coding RNA, 823 nt
Organism: Alligator mississippiensis (American alligator)
Lineage: Eukaryota; Metazoa; Chordata; Crocodylia; Alligatoridae
Exons: 2
Source: RefSeq, a predicted model, not a curated record
CGCCCCGCCAGGUCUGUCCUCCGCCGUGUCGCCCGGCCCUGGACAGCGACCCGGCCCUCGCGGGGCCGGGGGAGGCUCCGCGGGAGCAGGGGGGGCGGGCCGCGGGCGGGGGACACCUGCUCCCAGGGGGGAGCCAGCGCCCAGCCUCCUGGCCCUGCUGGCUGGGUGGGUGCCGCGUCGACUGGUCCGCGCCGUCCCCCCUUGCACCAGGUGGUGACAUCGGUUUCGGAGACAUCAGGGCCCUCGAGACCUGUCCGCAGGGGAGAGCAGGAUCGGUCUCCUUCCCUUUCCCCCGUUCUCUCUUCUCCGCUUCGGGUGCGAGGCGCCGGACCUCAAAACGGGCAGCCGCUCGGUUGAGGUCGUAGCGCCAUCGGGGUCGGUGGACGGCGCCCGAUGCCUGCAGGUGUAUUGAAUUCAUCAUGUGAUGAUGUGAGAGGCUUUUGGAUUUUUUCGAGUAACAAGCUGAGGUUGGCUCAUAGCAGGAUCCACAGUGCAAGAUGCCUGUCUCUCCCUUUGUGGUGACCAGAGAUCCAAACCUCAAAACCCUGUCACUCCAAGCAAAAGACGGUUUACUUUUAGAAAUAAUUGUGAACUACUUCUAAUGGACAUGGGAGCGUUGCCAGAUCUCAUGCUUUUUAUCCUGAGCCUUGCCAUUGUUGGUGCCCCCCUUAGCAUCGAAGCUCCGGGAGGCACUCGGGAGAAGCCUUUGCUUUCUGCUCAAAGGAAGUUUUUUGCCCUUCUCGUUGCAGGGAUAAAAGUUUGCAGAGAUGACUCCUGAAGGAAGAUGUGACAGGAGGCAAAUAAAAUGGAUUGUUUUGAAAAA